This 648-nucleotide small RNA is filed under the name Pan troglodytes (chimpanzee). Its description in RNAcentral is "retained intron". The record is from RNAcentral. Lineage: Eukaryota; Metazoa; Chordata; Mammalia; Primates; Hominidae.
AUUAAUAGAUCACUUUUAGCUCUUGGGAAUGUCAUCAAUGCCUUAGCAGAUUCAAAGAGAAAGAAUCAGCAUAUCCCUUACAGAAAUAGUAAGCUUACUCGCUUGUUAAAGGAUUCUCUUGGAGGAAACUGUCAAACUAUAAUGAUAGCUGCUGUUAGUCCUUCCUCUGUAUUCUACGAUGACACAUAUAACACUCUUAAGUAUGCUAACCGGGCAAAGGACAUUAAAUCUUCUGUAAGUCUGUUUACUCUGCCUUUGUUGUGAAGGUAUUGUCUGCAUAUGAUUUUUGUAAUUCUAAUGAAAGUAUUAAUUCAGGUUAUGUUUCUACAUAAUGAGUUAGGCAGCUGAGGGUUAGAAGGGUCUUUGCUAACCUGCUUAGUCGAACAUUAAUUUAGACGGUUAAACCAUAAAGCAUCUUGAUUACAUAUAUAUAUAUAAUAGAUACUAUUAUUCGAUCUUUUCAUAAAGCAUCUUGAUUAUAUAUAUAUAUAUAUAAUAGAUACUAUUAUUCGAUCUUUUGGGUACUAUAGUACUUGAGUGGCUUUCUCCCUAACCUCUUUGAUGUCAUGGCCUAUUGUAUUUGGAUGGCAUCUUGGAGUAAUCAGUCAAAACUUGAACACAUUUGUUGCAGCCCAGGAUGAUGCUCUG